Molecule: ribosomal RNA, 300 nt
Filed under: Triticum aestivum (bread wheat)
Lineage: Eukaryota; Viridiplantae; Streptophyta; Magnoliopsida; Poales; Poaceae
Description: partial small subunit ribosomal RNA
Source: RNAcentral
AUGAAUCUAAUAAGUUGGAACUGCCCGGGAGGGGGGAAUACCCGGACAGUUCAUGAAAUCGUGACGAUAUCCCAGUCGCAUUCCUCCACUUUUGUGUUUCUUUGUGAGACUAGACAGAAAGCUGAGAAAAUGAGGAGGAUUCAAAGCAGACUUGGGUUGAAGGGUUUUGAAGAAGUGGAUAGCAAUGGUCUCAGUGGUGGGCUAGCAUUGUAUUGGCACGAGGCAUGUCUUGUGGACAUCUUGGACAAGAAUGAUCGGUACAUUGACGCUUUGGUUCGUUUGAAUACAGAUGCAGAAUAG